AAUCAACGCUGGCGGCGUGCCUCAGACAUGCAAGUCGAACGCGAAAGUCUCCUUCGGGGACAAGUAGAGUGGCGCACGGGUGAGUAACACGUAGGUAAUCUACCUUUGGAUGGGGAAUAACAACCGGAAACGGUUGCUAAUACCGCAUAAUGCAGCGGCACCUAAUGGUGACAGUUGUUAAAGCGGGGAUCGAAAGACCUCGCGUCUGAAGAGGAGCCUGCGGCGGAUUAGCUAGUUGGUAAGGUAAUGGCUUACCAAGGCUAUGAUCCGUAACCGGCCUGAGAGGGCGGUCGGUCACACUGACACUGGACAUACGGGUCAGACUCCUACGGGAGGCAGCAGUCGGGAAUUUUGGGCAAUGGGCGAAAGCCUGACCCAGCAACGCCGCGUGAA
RNAcentral lists this ribosomal RNA (393 nucleotides) under uncultured bacterium. Its description in RNAcentral is "bacterial SSU rRNA". It matches the Rfam family "Bacterial small subunit ribosomal RNA", at positions 32 to 405 of the family's 1533-position model. The record is from RNAcentral.